This 372-nucleotide ribosomal RNA is filed under the name uncultured prokaryote. RNAcentral describes it as "bacterial SSU rRNA". It matches the Rfam family "Bacterial small subunit ribosomal RNA", at positions 524 to 896 of the family's 1533-position model. The record is from RNAcentral.
UACGGAGGGGGCUAGCGUUGUUCGGAAUUACUGGGCGUAAAGCGCACGCAGGCGGUUUGACAAGUUGGAUGUGAAAUCCCGGAGCUCAACUCCGGAACUGCAUUCAAAACUGUCAGGCUAGAGUCCGGAAGAGGAGAGUGGAAUUCCCAGUGUAGAGGUGAAAUUCGUAGAUAUUGGGAAGAACACCAGUGGCGAAGGCGGCUCUCUGGUCCGGUACUGACGCUCAGGUGCGAAAGCGUGGGGAGCAAACAGGAUUAGAUACCCUGGUAGUCCACGCUGUAAACUAUGAGUGCUAGACGUUGGGGGGCUUGCCCCUCAGUGUCGCAGCUAACGCUUUAAGCACUCCGCCUGGGGAGUACGGUCGCAAGAUUA